RNAcentral lists this transfer RNA (357 nucleotides) under uncultured Microcystis sp. RNAcentral's name for it is "partial 16S-23S ribosomal RNA intergenic spacer". The stretch from base 133 to 206 matches the Rfam family "tRNA". The record is from RNAcentral. Lineage: Bacteria; Bacillati; Cyanobacteriota; Cyanophyceae; Chroococcales; Microcystaceae.
AAGGGAGACCUAAUUCGGGUAGAAGACGAAAAAAUAGUAGUCGAAACCAAGAAUCAAUCCCAAAAGGUCGGAACGAGGUAUGUGGCUUUCAAACUAGGUUCUGGGUUCACAAAAGACCUGAAUCAGGAACAAGGGCUAUUAGCUCAGGUGGUUAGAGCGCACCCCUGAUAAGGGUGAGGUCCCUGGUUCGAGUCCAGGAUGGCCCACCUGCACAGGUGGCAAAAACAAGAGAAACGAGGAAUCAGCACCCUAUCUUACUUACAUAGUAAGAGAGAAUGCUGGCUCUGAGUAAAGAGUCCAGAGGAACCUUGAAAACUGCAUAGAGCUAGGUGAAAAAGCCAAAAAAGAAGACCGCAA